CCGCCAUAUCAGAUUGAAGCAUUACUUCCCGUACGAUCACCGAAGGUAAGCAACGUCGAGUCUAGUCAGUACCAAGAUGAGUGACCGGUUGCGAAUACCAGGUGUUGUAAG
Non-coding RNA from Acanthosepion pharaonis, 111 nucleotides. The record is from the annotation of a GenBank genome assembly. Lineage: Eukaryota; Metazoa; Mollusca; Cephalopoda; Sepiida; Sepiidae.